AGAGUUUGAUCCUGGCACAGGACGAACGCUGGCGGCGUGCCUAACACAUGCAAGUCGAACGGAGAUAUUAAUGAAGCUUGCGAUUUAAUAUCUUAGUGGCGGACGGGUGAGUAACGCGCGGGUAAUCUGCCCAUAAGUGGGGGACAACAGUUGGAAACGACUGCUAAUACCGCAUAUCCUGAUUUAUUAGGAAAGAUGGCCUCUGAAUAUGCUGUCGCUUAUGGAUGAGCCCGCGUCUGAUUAGCUAGUUGGUGGGGCAAUGGCCUACCAAGGCGACGAUCAGUAGCCGGCCUGAGAGGGUGAACGGCCACACUGGGACUGAGACACGGCCCAGACUCCUACGGGAGGCAGCAGUGGGGAAUGUUGCGCAAUGGGGGAAACCCUGACGCAGCGACGCCGCGUGAGCGAUGAAGGCCUUAGGGUUGUAAAGCUCUGUUUUAGGGGACGAAUGUCUAGAUCAGUAAUAUGGGUUUAGAAUGACGGUACCCUAAGAGGAAGCCCCGGCUAACUACGUGCCAGCAGCCGCGGUAAGACGUAGGGGGCGAGCGUUGUCCGGAAUUACUGGGCGUAAAGAGCACGUAGGCGGAGACUUAAGUCAGGUGUGAAAGACCGGGGCUCAACCCCGGGGUGGCACUUGAAACUGGGUCCCUUGAGGGCAGGAGAGGGCAGUAGAAUUCCUGGUGUAGCGGUGAAAUGCGUAGAAAUCAGGAGGAAUACCAGUGGCGAAGGCGACUGCCUGGACUGACCCUGACGCUGAGGUGCGAAAGCGUGGGUAGCAAACAGGAUUA
RNAcentral lists this ribosomal RNA (788 nucleotides) under uncultured bacterium. RNAcentral's name for it is "bacterial SSU rRNA". It matches the Rfam family "Bacterial small subunit ribosomal RNA", at positions 8 to 780 of the family's 1533-position model. The record is from RNAcentral.